This 539-nucleotide long non-coding RNA is filed under the name Polistes fuscatus (common paper wasp). Its description in RNAcentral is "uncharacterized LOC122516321". The record is from RNAcentral. Lineage: Eukaryota; Metazoa; Arthropoda; Insecta; Hymenoptera; Vespidae.
AACUCGUAUUAAUAUUUUCAAUACCAGAUGGCAUUGCUGAUAAUCUUUCAAAACAAGUUCUGCGUAAACAAAGCAUCUGAUUGGUUGAAUUGGAACCUUGCACACACACCACAUACAUUCUGUACGAAGUCUUAUUGUAUUAAAUCAAACGCAAUUAGGUGAUUGGUCGAGAAUAAAAUAAAAUAUAAUAGCGGGUGUUUAAAAUGCCAAUGGUGAAAGUAAUCAAUUAAUUGAUUCAUCAGAUCAAUACAGCGGCAUCGAAUAAUAAAAUUUCGUUAAAGUUCAGUUGAGGGUGUGUAGAUGGCAGGGAUGGAUUGUACAUUGGAUAUUUGUAAUGUGUAAGAAGUUCGUCUAAAGUAGAAAAAAAGCACUCUAACACGUGGUUUUGACAAUCGAUCGGGACAUAAGCUAGCUGACCCGCCGAGUAGGAGACUCACUUUGCAAAGCGUGCACGUCGAUGUGUUCGAAGGAACGUAGCGGAACCAGAAACAGUAUGGCUGGAGGAUUUCAGCUGUUUCAUGUCAGUGUGUGAGUGCCGA